This 253-nucleotide ribosomal RNA is filed under the name uncultured bacterium. RNAcentral describes it as "partial 16S ribosomal RNA". It matches the Rfam family "Bacterial small subunit ribosomal RNA", at positions 524 to 776 of the family's 1533-position model. The record is from RNAcentral.
UACGUAGGGGGCAAGCGUUGUCCGGAAUUAUUGGGCGUAAAGCGCGCGUAGGCGGUUACUCAAGUCGGAUGUGAAAGCCCUCGGCUUAACUGAGGAAGUGCACCCGAAACUGAGUAGCUAGAGUACUAAAGAGGGUCGCGGAAUUCCCGGUGUAGAGGUGAAAUUCGUAGAUAUCGGGAGGAACACCGGUGGCGAAGGCGGCGACCUGGGUAGAUACUGACGCUGAGGCGCGAAAGCGUGGGGAGCAAACAGG